AAGAUAGUGGCGAACGGGUGAGUAACACGUGGGUAACCUGCCCAUAAGAGGGGGAUAACAUCCGGAAACGGGUGCUAAUACCGCAUAGUUUCUUGAUCGCAUGAUUGAGAAAGGAAAGACGGCCUUUGUGCUGUCGCUUAUGGAUGGACCCGCGGCGUAUUAGUUAGUUGGUGAGGUAACGGCUUACCAAGACGAUGAUACGUAGCCGACCUGAGAGGGUGAUCGGCCACAUUGGGACUGAGACACGGCCCAAACUCCUACGGGAGGCAGCAGUAGGGAAUCUUCCGCAAUGGACGAAAGUCUGACGGAGCAACGCCGCGUGAGUGAAGAAAGGUUUUCGGAUCGUAAAACUCUGUUGUCAGAGAAGAACAAGUUGGAGAGUAACUGCUCCAGCCUUGACGGUAUCUGACCAGAAAGCCACGGCUAACUACGUGCCAGCCGCCGC
This 445-nucleotide ribosomal RNA is filed under the name uncultured bacterium. RNAcentral's name for it is "bacterial SSU rRNA". It matches the Rfam family "Bacterial small subunit ribosomal RNA", at positions 89 to 518 of the family's 1533-position model. The record is from RNAcentral.